Molecule: long non-coding RNA, 2280 nt
Organism: Salmo salar (Atlantic salmon)
Lineage: Eukaryota; Metazoa; Chordata; Actinopteri; Salmoniformes; Salmonidae
Source: RefSeq, a predicted model, not a curated record
AGAGAGAGAGAGAGAGAAGAGGAGCUAAGAGGCACUGUAUUCCAUAACAUCGUGAUUGAUAGAAUAAUAGAAUGUGGAGAACCAACAAGUAUGGUUGAAGUGGAGGUAGAGUGUAGUUAGAUAUAGAUAAAGGUAGGGCCUGAGCGUGUGGGAGGGAGUGGGACGACAGAGGAGAUUAAAGUGUGAACAGUGAAGGGGUGUGGAGGUUUCACACAAGAAAGAGUUAUAAUCCGCUCCCAGCCUUCUCCUUUUUCAGACACCACUAACUUUCAUGGUGACCACAACCCAAACCUGAGACUGUAAAAGAAAGACAGACAGAUUGCUCAAGAAAAUAUUAUAAACAAGAAAUAUCUGGAUAACCUUUGGAAAUGUUAACUCAAGUCUUCACGAACCUGAAGCCACAACCAACUAGCAGCUGUGAUCAUUAACUAAAUCCAGAAAGGAAAAUAAAUCAAAGAAAAGAUCAGCUUUCUUCUUCAAACCUCUGUCAGCCGUCAUAAGUGAGGAUUUCAGUUUGACUGGAGAGUAGACAGAGGCAUACAGGGCUGUACUUUCCCAAUCAAGAUCAAUCCUGGACUAAAAUGUCUGCCCAAUCAGCAACGAUGGAGGACAUUCCACUGAAUGCUGUCCCAGGGACAGGUGAAAUGACAGAUGCCCAAAAUGACACCACCUGCCUUCAAGUGAUCACCUGCUGUGGUCAUGACCAUACUGUUCCCUCCUGUGCCAAGGACAGGGACUAUAGGAGACUGGCCAUUAGCAGCAUCAUCUGUGGACUCUCCUGCAUUGGCAUUUUAGCUUUGGUCAACUCAGUCAAGGCUCGAGAGGCAAGGAAGACGACUCCAGAGAAGGCUCAACAAUAUUCCCAAAAGGCAAGAAUGUUUGGGAUCAUUUCUAUUGUGGUGUGGGUGGUGAUUCUGGUUCUCAGCCCACUACUAUUGGUACUGGUGUCAUACCUACUCACUCUGAUAGACUGACCAAUUCCCAGGAACCACCAAGGUGGAUGUACUGUACCAUAAGGAUGGCUACAGGACAGCGCUCCAACUUCUUUAGUAUUGAUCUUGGACCGCCGUGACACUGUGAGGUGGGAACAGAUGGAAAAGCACCUCCAGUGACUCAGGGAGACUCCACUGUAUACAGCCUUCCUGAGUAUCACUCUGAUAAGGCUGUCUUGCUGAUAAGGAUUUACAAAGGCACCUUUAACUUCCUUUUGUGACAAUCUGGAAUUUAUCGCUGGAAGAAUGGUUUAUAGUUAACAUUCAAGUGAUACCAUAGCUAUAAAUACAUCAUAAAUAUUAAGAUAUUUUGACAUUUAUCAGUAGCCCAACCAGACUUUUAGCACUUAGAGUUAGGACUGUAGUCAAACUACCUUCUUCCUGAAUAAGAGGUCGGUUCGGAGACGAGAGAUGAGCAAGGGGACACAAAAUAACUACUUGUUUUUGAUAUAGCAUUUAAUGGACACGGUUUAUUUGCUGACAUACAUGAGUCCAAGACUGUAUGAGUAUAAAACAGCAGAUUUAAAAAAUCCUGUAUAAAUUCUAAACAAACUGUGAGGCACUAUACAGGGGCCUGACUCCAAAACACUCCCAUGUCCACCAUCUGUCUCAACCUUCACAUGUUACUUUUACCAUUUAUGAUAUGCAACAUCAACUUUAUUUUUUAACAAUGUUAGAUUUCUAUUUAGCUGUGAAAUAAAUUAUUUGUAUAUGUGAGGAACUAACUAUGAAUGUCUAAUUAUAAAGGACAGAUUGUGAACUAGGUAUAAUUAAAUCAGGGCAGUGUUUCUGAUUUACAGUAAUAGUGAAAACUGCCUUUGGUUUUAAAUACCAAAAAUGUACAAUACUUCAUUUUGGUUACAUUACCAUUUCUACAUUUACUGUAUUCAUGUUAUUGCAUUACUUUAUUGUAUUUUAUAUUUAUACAUUGCAUGUUUUAAAGGAUUUUGUAAUUAAAUGAAAAUACAUUUACAUCAAUUUGAUCUGAAUUAAGCUCCUUUUCAGGCUAUUUGCCUCAUUUGCAUUAAGUUAAUAUAGCUACAAAUACCUUUUACUUAAUAUGAAGUCACUCUCUAGCUGUAACAAGAAAUGCAUACAAAUACAUUUUUUCAAUACAAACCACACAGUAACGAGAAAUAUUUUCAGAAAUAUAAUUAGAACAAAACAUGUGAUGUAAUAGAAAAGUAAAUUGUAUAUACUAGCAAUUUUCAAUUAAAUGUUGCUAUCAAAACAAAUAUUACAAUCCACAAUGAUACAAAACAUUACACUAAUUGCAUUGAUCAAAAUA